Oncorhynchus nerka (sockeye salmon) is the source of this 2858-nucleotide long non-coding RNA. RefSeq lists it as uncharacterized. NCBI's taxonomy places the organism in Eukaryota, Metazoa, Chordata, Actinopteri, Salmoniformes, Salmonidae. The transcript is spliced from 3 exons. The record is from RefSeq and is a predicted model, not a curated record.
ACAGCAUGUGGACCGCAAUGUGAAGGUUUAAUUGAUAACCACCUAAUGGCAUGAAAAAGUGUUUCCGCCCGGUCUCGAACCGGGGACCUUUCGCGUGUUAGGCGAACGUGAUAACCACUACACUACGGAAACUGAUUUAAGUAUCGACAAACAAUGAUUGUGACCACAACUACACUACCCUUAAUAGCCAGGUUCGGUGUCCUUCAACAACUUUGAUGACGUUCAUCUGGGUCAUAUACGCUGGGAACAAAACAAGUCGAAACUGGGAGGGACAACCUGAAGAUUGCCCAAUAAGAAAAACAUGCAAAACAUUUUUAAAUGUUUUAUGUUAUGUGCCCUGAACAUGACCAUGAUAUGCCUAAUGAUUUUUCUGAAAGACCCCGAGACACUCGGCACUACACUUGGCCACAGCAUUGCCUACUUACCUCACUCAAUAGGUGAUGGUGAGUGUUCUCUGGAGGAGGUGACUGUGAAGGAUGUGAGGAUUCUGCCAAACAUUGACUCCUCCUACCUGCCCAUGAUGCCAGACAGGAUAUGUGAUGCUUGUCGACAACGUGUGGUAUGACUGCGUGUGGGAGGGGGCUGUAUACGGAAGUUUACAUAUACCUUAGCCAAAUUCAUUUAAACUCAGUUUUUCACAAUUCCUGACAUUUAAUCAGAGUAAAAAUUCUCUGUUUUAGGUCAGUUAGGAUCACCACUAUAUUUUAAGAAUGUGAAAUGUCAGAAUAAUAGUAGAGAGAAUGAUUUAUUUCAGCUUUCAUUUCUUUCAUCACAUUCCCAGUAGGUCAGAAGUUUACAUACUCAAUUAGUAUUCGGUAGCAUUGCCUUUAAAUUGUUUAACUUGGGUCAAACGUUUCGGGUAGCCUUCCACAAGCUUCCCAUAAACCCCAGUGCUUCACGGUUGGGAUGGUGUUCUUCAGCUUGCAAGCCUCCCCCUUUUUCCUCCAAACAUAACAAUGGUCAUUAUGGCCAAACAGUUAUAUUUUUGUUUCAUCAGACCAGAGGACAUUUCUCCAAAAAGUACGAUCUUUGUCCCCAUGUGCAGUUGCAAACUAUAGUCUGGGUUUUUUAUUGCGGUUUUGGAGCAGUGGCUUCUUCCUUGCUGAGCGGCCUUUCAGGUUAUGUCGAUAUCGGACUGUUUUUUCCUGUGGAUAUAGAUACUUUUGUACCUGGUUCCUCCAGCAUCUUCACAAGGUCCUUUGCUGUUGUUCUGUGAUUGAUUUGCACUUUUCGCACCAAAGUACAUUCAUCUCUAGGAGACAGAACGCAUCUCCUUCCAGAGCGGUAUGAUGGCUGCGUGGUCCCAUGGUGUUUAUACUUACUUGCUAUUGUUUGUACAGAUGAACGUGGUACCUUCAGGCGUUUGGAAAUUGCUGCCAAGGAUGAACCAGACUUGUGGAGGUCUACACAUUUUUUUUUUUUAGGUCUUUGCUGAUUUCUUUUGAUUUUCCCAUGAUGUCAAGCAAAGAGGCACUGAGUUUGAAGGUAGGCCUUGAAAUACAUUUACAGGUACACCUACAAUUGACUCAAAUGAUGUCAAUUAGCCUAUCAGAAGCUUCUAAAGUCAUGACAUAAUUUUCUGGAAUUUUCCAAGCUGUUUAAAGGCACAGUCAACUUAGUGUAUGUAAACUUCUGACCCACUGGAAUUGUGAUACUGUGAAUAAGUGAAAUAAUAUGUCUGUAAAACAUUAUUGGAAAGAUUUCUUGUGUCAUGCACAAAGUAAUGUUCUAACCGACUUGCAAAAACUAUAGUUUGUUAUAAAGAAAUUUGUGGAGUGGUUGAAAAACUAGUUUUAAUGACUCCAACCUAACUGUAUGUAAACUUCCAACUUCAACUGUAUGUGUGUAACUGUUUUAUUUGUGCAUUGUGUUGACUGGACAAUGUUAGUACCCUACAUUAGAAGUUGGUGUCCAGUCAUAAGGCACGAGUACCUCACAAUCCUUUUGACUGUGAUCCUGCUCAGUUGACAUGCCGGUAAGUGAAAUCAAACAGCUGAUCGAAAUGUCAUGUGAACAAAUGUUGCAGACAAUACAUUCAAGGGUCACUAUGGAGGAGUUGUUUCCUGACUCAAAAGGAAUACCCUGCUGUCUCCCUCUGAGAAUUAAUGGUGACAGGCAGCCCUAGGCAGCCCUAAGAACAGUUUUCAAACCCCUUUCCAUUUUCUCUACCCUCCUGCCCAUCCCUUUCCCCUUCUUCACCUCCCCCCUCUUCCAGGUCAUGGACAGAGUGAGGAUGCAGUGUUGGGGGCUGUAGUGUGUCACUCCCCCUCUGUAACCUGGGCAUCUGUCGGAAAGGUUGAACUCUCUCCUUCAAUGUCACCUUCCAGAUAUUCAAGGCAGGAGGACUCUAUGAGAUACGGUACACACAGGAUGGGGAAACACUGUGUGUGUGCGCGGGUGUAUUUGGGUGUGUCUGGUGAUACAUUUUUUGUAGUAAUAAUCAUUAUUAUUGUCAUCCUUUCUCUCUCUAUAGCUGAGUCAACAUAUGAAGCUGCAGUUUACAGCAGAAAGAACAGGAGAUAUAUAAGGUGAAUGGAGGGAGAGGAGUGUUGACAAUUGGAGAGGAGAAAAAGAGAGCGAAAGAUGCAGAUAGAGAGAAAUGAGUAUGAAGAUGAGGGCCUAAGAUCUAAAUUGAGGAUGAGGCAGAAGCCACAGUAUUAUCUAAAUGUAACUGAUUUGAUCUCUAACACUCAUGCUGCUACUGAUGUGUGAACUAUAGAAGUAGUUUAUUCUAUUUCUAUGGUCAGAACAACAAACCUGUUGGAGUGUGAAGAGAACCCAUGUGAAACCAUGUCGCCUCUGUGAGGUGAUUAUUCUACAAUGUAGAAAAUAGUACAAAUAAAGAACACUUGAAUGAG